RNAcentral lists this small nucleolar RNA (83 nucleotides) under Thermothelomyces thermophilus ATCC 42464. The record is from RNAcentral. Lineage: Eukaryota; Fungi; Ascomycota; Sordariomycetes; Sordariales; Chaetomiaceae.
UUGCCAUGAUGAGAUAUCCCAAUUCAGUUCUGCUUCUGAAGACAAUUGAAGACACCCAUAUACCAAAAAUAAACCUCUGAUAA